GGGAGAGACGCUGUUGGUCCUGAUAAAGUGUUUUUCUUGGGGGAGGGUUUUUACUAUGUGUUUGCUCCCGCGAUUUCCCCGAAUGAGAAAACUCGGCUGCAUAACUUGUGGUAGUGGGGGACUGCUUUUGCGCUUUUCUGUCCUGUGAUUGAACUAGUUUAAAAGACGGCUUGUGUGUUGUUGCGUGUGUUUAUUUUCAGAGUUGUUGUAGUGGCGCGCGUUUGGUUUUGGAGUUGUGGUUAUGACCUUACGUCUUCUUAGGUUACGGUCUGUUUUAAUUAGAUGCUCGCUAAGUAUUUUAUACCGUUUCUAGGAAGGGUGGAAAAAUAAGCCAGACUGAUGUGGUACGCACCUGUGCUAGCUACUCGGGAGACUGAGGUGGGAAAAUCAUUUGAUCCCAGAUGGAGACUUAAUGAGCCAAUAUUGUGCCACUGCACUCCUGUCUGAGCGAUAGAGAC
RNAcentral lists this long non-coding RNA (458 nucleotides) under Homo sapiens (human). RNAcentral describes it as "LHRI_LNC245.1". The stretch from base 1 to 142 matches the Rfam family "U1 spliceosomal RNA". Lineage: Eukaryota; Metazoa; Chordata; Mammalia; Primates; Hominidae. The record is from RNAcentral.